AAGGUGCUGCAUGGUUGUCGUCAGCUCGUGCCGUGAGGUGUCAGGUUAAGUCCUAUAACGAGCGCAACCCCUACCGUUAGUUGCCAGCAUGUCAUGAUGGGGACUCUAACGGGACUGCCGGUGCAAACCGCGAGGAAGGUGGGGAUGACGUCAAAUCAUCACGGCCCUUACGUCCUGGGCCACACACGUGCUACAAUGGUCAGUACAGAGGGCAGCUACCUAGUGAUAGGAUGCGAAUCUCGAAAGCUGAUCUCAGUUCGGAUUGGAGUCUGCAACUCGACUCCAUGAAGCUGGAAUCGCUAGUAAUCGCGUAUCAGCCAUGACGCGGUGAAUACGUUCCCGGGCCUUGUACACACCGCCCGUCAAGCCAUGGAAGCUGGGGGUACCUGAAGUCGGUCACCGUAAGGAGCUGCCUAGGGUAAAACUAGUAACUGGGGCUAAGUCGUAACAAGGUAGCCGUACCGGAAGGUGCGGCUGGAUCACCUCCUU
This 489-nucleotide ribosomal RNA is filed under the name Thalassiosira antarctica. RNAcentral's name for it is "partial Bacterial small subunit ribosomal RNA". It matches the Rfam family "Bacterial small subunit ribosomal RNA", at positions 1035 to 1532 of the family's 1533-position model. The record is from RNAcentral. Lineage: Eukaryota; Bacillariophyta; Thalassiosirophyceae; Thalassiosirales; Thalassiosiraceae.